RNAcentral lists this transfer RNA (70 nucleotides) under Caudoviricetes sp. Its description in RNAcentral is "tRNA-OTHER". It matches the Rfam family "tRNA". From Rfam's summary of the family: Transfer RNA (tRNA) molecules are approximately 80 nucleotides in length. Their secondary structure includes four short double-helical elements and three loops (D, anti-codon, and T loops). The record is from RNAcentral. Lineage: Duplodnaviria; Heunggongvirae; Uroviricota; Caudoviricetes.
AAAUAGGUAGCUCGAUGGUAGAGCGCCGGAUAUUCCGGAGAUCACGGGUUCGAAUCCCGUUCUAUUUCUU